UGGGGAAUAUUGCACAAUGGGCGCAAGCCUGAUGCAGCCAUGCCGCGUGUAUGAAGAAGGCCUUCGGGUUGUAAAGUACUUUCAGCGGGGAGGAAGGGAGUAAAGUUAAUACCUUUGCUCAUUGACGUUACCCGCAGAAGAAGCACCGGCUAACUCCGUGCCAGCAGCCGCGGUAAUACGGAGGGUGCAAGCGUUAAUCGGAAUUACUGGGCGUAAAGCGCACGCAGGCGGUUUGUUAAGUCAGAUGUGAAAUCCCCGGGCUCAACCUGGGAACUGCAUCUGAUACUGGCAAGCUUGAGUCUCGUAGAGGGGGGUAGAAUUCCAGGUGUAGCGAUGAAAUGCGUAGAGAUCUGGAGGAAUACCGGUGGCGAAGGCGGCCCCCUGGACGAAGACUGAUGCUCAGGUGCGAAAGCGUGGGGAGCAAACAGG
RNAcentral lists this ribosomal RNA (429 nucleotides) under Chloroflexota bacterium. RNAcentral describes it as "Chloroflexi bacterium partial 16S ribosomal RNA". It matches the Rfam family "Bacterial small subunit ribosomal RNA", at positions 355 to 776 of the family's 1533-position model. The record is from RNAcentral. Lineage: Bacteria; Bacillati; Chloroflexota.